ACAGCAGUCGCCGCGGUAAUACGAAGGGGGCUAGCGUUGUUCGGAAUUACUGGGCGUAAAGGGCGCGUAGGCGGCCAUUCAAGUUAGAUGUGAAAGCCCUGGGCUCAACCUAGGAAAUGCAUUUGAUACUGUUUGGCUUGAGUUCGGGAGAGGUGAGUGGAAUUCCCAGUGUAGAGGUGAAAUUCGUAGAUAUUGGGAAGAACACCAGUGGCGAAGGCGGCUCACUGGACCGACACUGACGCUGAGGCGCGAAAGCGUGGGGAGCAAACAGGAUUAGAUACCCCCGUAGUCCCUGUCUCUUAUAC
RNAcentral lists this ribosomal RNA (305 nucleotides) under uncultured bacterium. Its description in RNAcentral is "partial 16S ribosomal RNA". It matches the Rfam family "Bacterial small subunit ribosomal RNA", at positions 508 to 807 of the family's 1533-position model. The record is from RNAcentral.